RNAcentral lists this ribosomal RNA (253 nucleotides) under uncultured bacterium. Its description in RNAcentral is "partial 16S ribosomal RNA". It matches the Rfam family "Bacterial small subunit ribosomal RNA", at positions 524 to 776 of the family's 1533-position model. The record is from RNAcentral.
UACGGGGGGAGCAAACGUUGUUCGGAAUCAUUGGGCGUAAAGGGCGCGUAGGUGGUUCUGUAUGUCUACCGUGAAAGCGUACGGCUCAACCGUAUUUUGUCGGUGGAAACUGCAGGACUUGAGGCUGGGAGGGGCUGGUGGAAUUCCCUGUGUAGCGGUGAAAUGCGUAGAGAUGGGGGAGAACACUCGUGGCGAAGGCGGCCAGCUAGACCAGUUCUGACACUGAGGCGCGACAGCGUGGGGAGCAAACAGG